CACACUGUGAUCUCCGGUCUUGUCGUUGUCUCGCGACUGCCGCAUCAGUCGAAGCCAACACAAAGACACAGGAAGUGAAGACUCGUUUGGUAACCAUGACAACGUUAUAUUAAUAGAGUUUAUUUGUCAUGAUUGUCUUUAUGACAAUGGUUUACUCGAAGAUGGAAAUCAUACAUUUUACACGAUAGAUUUAAGCUGCAACACAGACCCUACACACCAGGAUAUGGGGUGUUCUCCUUCCCGUCCACAUCUCAAAACAAAAACAGAAAAAGGACAGAAAGGUCAGUCGAACAUAGCCUACUUCAACAUCCGGGGCAAACCAGAUGGCGAGGAGAAAGCUGCUACUACAGAUCACAAGGAUAGGUUUGCCGUCCAGUACCAUCCAUGCUCAGACAUGCCCACAGAUACAACAUCCAUCGAAUCCUCUUCUGCUGAUCUGCACGAGAACAGUACGAAAGAUGACUUAUCUGUUUACCAGAAGACUGCAAUCUGAUUUCACGAACUCAUUCAUAUCAAAUAUUGUUGUCGUUUAACACAUGUAAUACAACUGUUGAUAAGAUGUCAUAUUGAUAUUCGGGAACAGUCCAGGAGAAUACCAUUUCGUGCUCUUACAACCUGACGCCUAAGUCGGUCGCAAUGCUGCCUCACAACGAUUCGUAUAAAGUUCCAAUAAUAUGUGUAUCCAAUAAGAUAGGCUUUUAUAUAAGGUAUAUAAAGUAUUUUGAUAUAUUUUAAUUGACAUAAUACAGUUUUUGUACAUUUCUUUGAAAAUAUAAUAUUAUUGGCCGUCUAUAUAGGAUAAUGAUGUUUGAUUUU
Pecten maximus is the source of this 816-nucleotide long non-coding RNA. RefSeq lists it as uncharacterized. NCBI's taxonomy places the organism in Eukaryota, Metazoa, Mollusca, Bivalvia, Pectinida, Pectinidae. The record is from RefSeq and is a predicted model, not a curated record. The transcript has 3 exons.